Molecule: small nuclear RNA, 124 nt
Organism: Arvicanthis niloticus (Nile rat)
Lineage: Eukaryota; Metazoa; Chordata; Mammalia; Rodentia; Muridae
Source: RefSeq, a predicted model, not a curated record
GUGCUGUGUGAAAGGGGAGUAGGUCAGCACACUCCCUCAGGAGGAUGGAUGAGGCCCUUAGGCCUAAUAGCAUGCACUGGUAAAGUAUUGCCAUUGACUUUGUGGUAUUUAACCACUGUCUUUU